Molecule: ribosomal RNA, 253 nt
Filed under: uncultured bacterium
Lineage: Bacteria
Description: partial 16S ribosomal RNA
Rfam family: Bacterial small subunit ribosomal RNA
Source: RNAcentral
UACGAAGGGUGCAAACGUUGCUCGGAAUUAUUGGGCGUAAAGCGCACGUAGGCGGCUUGGCAAGUCGGAUGUGAAAUCCCUCGGCUCAACCAAGGAAGUGCAUCCGAAACUGCUGAGCUUGAGUACUUAAGAGGAUCGCGGAAUUCCCGGUGUAGAGGUGAAAUUCGUAGAUAUCAGGAGGAACACCGAUGGCGAAGGCAGCUCGCUGGGACGUGACUGACGCUGAGACGCGAAAGCGUGGGGAGCAAACAGG